Molecule: ribosomal RNA, 497 nt
Filed under: uncultured bacterium
Lineage: Bacteria
Description: partial 16S ribosomal RNA
Rfam family: Bacterial small subunit ribosomal RNA
Source: RNAcentral
GAUGAACGCUGGCGGCGUGCCUAAUACAUGCAAGUCGGGCGAACGGACGAGAAGCUUGCUUCUCUGAUGUUAGCGGCGGACGGGUGAGUAACACGUGGAUAACCUACCUAUAAGACUGGGAUAACUUCGGGAAACCGGAGCUAAUACCGGAUAAUAUUUUGAACCGCAUGGUUCAAAAGUGAAAGACGGUCUUGCUGUCACUUAUAGAUGGAUCCGCGCUGCAUUAGCUAGUUGGUAAGGUAACGGCUUACCAAGGCAACGAUGCAUAGCCGACCUGAGAGGGUGAUCGGCCACACUGGAACUGAGACACGGUCCAGACUCCUACGGGAGGCAGCAGUAGGGAAUCUUCCGCAAUGGGCGAAAGCCUGACGGAGCAACGCCGCGUGAGUGAUGAAGGUCUUCGGAUCGUAAAACUCUGUUAUUAGGGAAGAACAUAUGUGUAAGUAACUGUGCACAUCCUGACGGUACCUAAUCAGAAAGCCACGGCUAACUACGUG